This is an RNA transcript of Andrographis paniculata, 2371 nucleotides long. It is a transcript of the gene named probable inactive poly [ADP-ribose] polymerase SRO5, with no coding region annotated. The transcript is spliced from 6 exons. The record is from RefSeq and is a predicted model, not a curated record. NCBI's taxonomy places the organism in Eukaryota, Viridiplantae, Streptophyta, Magnoliopsida, Lamiales, Acanthaceae.
CACCAAAACAACUGUCGGCGUAGAUCAAAUCCAGAUGCCGACGCGCACUCCCCACGAAAACCAGAGGCGGCGGGGUUUCCUUCCCCCCUCCCCCCUUAUUUAUUUCUCCAACGCCAUUGAUGCACAUAUAUAUAGUUGGACCAAGCAGGAACAGUUUCCUCCCAAAUAUCAAUCAAAUCAUCGCUUAGGAUCUUUGGUACCUGCGUUUCGAUUGUAAGUUGUUGCUUUCAGGAUGAACUUUUGCUAAUUUUCUGUUGUUUCUUUCAAUUGAGAGCUGUGUUUCGUGCCCAUAGUGUUAGGAGUUUCUGAGAUUAGCUAUGGCUAUGGCUUUGGAUUGUUCAUUUUUGGUUGAAUUGCAUUGAUUUUGAUUUUGUUUUCGGUUUCGGUUUCGCCUAAUUUCGGCGGUUUUCGAUUAGGUUACGUAACCCUAGUUUCUUCCCCAAUUAGGAUAUUCCUUGAUUGCGGUGCAAGUUAGCUUUUAUAACCGCCUGGUGAUCAGUUUCUUCUCUUCCAAGUACCUGUUUCUUCCUUUAUUUCAAUGGAAUCAAUGGCUGAUUCUUGUGAAAGAUUAAUUCAAAAGAAGAGCACAAAGCUCACCCUCUUCGAAGACCUCCUCCAACCUUCGAAUCCCCAACCAAACCCGAAUUCCAUGACAAGUGAUUACAGGGAAGAUUCCUGCCCUUCCGAUUGCGAAAGUGUUGUUUCGGGGCUGGAAAACGAGCCUCUGUUCGGCAGUAACAACAACAAUUUGAUCCGAAUCGGAAACGAAGAUAUGAUUUACGCGACUAUUAGUAAGAAAUUGGUGUCGAAUUUGAAAUCGAACGGAUUUACCAAUGCCGAAGUCGAGGCCAUCCAUCGGAGAGACUAUUCCGGGAUCAUGAGCCAGGCGAAGCUUCAAUCCUUCUGUAUAUAUGCGAAAGCCGUCGGAAUGAAAUGUGGCUAUGGAAAUGCCAAUGUGAAGUACGCCUGGUACGGCGCCGGCAAGAAGGAGAUCACCGGAAUCCUCUCCCACGGCUUCUGCUUUCCGGCGAAUUCGCCACAAGGCGUAUCUCUAUCCCCGGCGGAUCAUCCGAACCUAAGCGUGCAAUCGUCGGCUGCUGAUGAUGACGACGGGUUGCGCCAUUUGUUGCUUUGCCGCGUGAUCCUCGGGAAGGCAGAGGUUAUAAGUCCCGGCUCGGGGCAGUGUAAUCCGAGCUCCGAGGAAUUCGAUUCCGGGGUGGAUAAUUUACUGGCGCCGGGGAGAUAUGUUGUUUGGAAUUCGUGUAUGAACACGCAUAUACUUCCCGAGUUCGUCGUCAGUUUCCGUGCAACCCCUUCUUGCAGGGGUUGUGAGAGGAUGUCGCAGCCUACAACAAGAACGCCGCAUUCGCAUUGGAUGCCGUUUCCCGCACUGAUCGCUGCCCUUGCCAAGUUCUUACCUGCCGACGCCGUUGGCCUUAUUUCCCGGCAUUACGGUGAUUACAAGAAGAAGAAGAUACCGCGGUAUGAGAUGAUACAAAAAGUGAGAAAAAUUGCCGGGGAUGAUAUUCUCAUGUCCAUCAUAAAAUUCAACCGGCGAAAGUAGAUUAGAAGUUCGACGAUAUCCGUUGGAGCGGUAACAACAACAUAGAGAAAGGAAGAUCUAUGAGAUGAAAUGAGAUUGAGGAUUGUUGAGCUAUGUUCGAUUUUAAGGAUGGCUAUAAAUUCUCCAACGCCAAUGGUCACGCUUUUCGUUCCUUCCAACAAACACAAACCCACUCAGGCCCUGCGCCUGACUCCGCCAUUGUUGAGCCGCAUGUUUCCUCGAGAGGUAGGUGUGGUUUCACAGAGAUGGAAAUGCAGGCGUCUGGCCCCUACAUCUCGCUCUCCUCUUCCUUCAACCCCCGAAUCAACGGUAAUCUCACCGCAAUUGCCGCCAGGGUCGCCGAAAAUUCCGAUUCCAAUCAAGGAGCAGUUCCGCGUCUCAGCGAUGGCGGCGAAAGAGAUUCGGAUUUUUCCUUCUCGACGCCAGAUUUAAAGCUCUGUUCUCCUAUUCCGGCGGAUGAGAUCUUCCACAACGGUAAGAUCCUACCGGUUUAUCGCGAUGUUGCGACGCUCGAAAUUGCGGAGUUCUGCGACGAGAAGGUAAAUGAGAACGAAAUUAGGAAUUCUGAUUUUACCGAUGUUCCGAGUCCGUUGAGGAUGCUUUUUGUUGAGGAAAUGCAUACGCAGAGAACGACGUCGUCUUCGAGCUCGUCUUCUGGAAAUGAAUCGGUGACCGUGGAGGAGGAGACGCGGUGGAAGAAGAUCGGCUUCCACGGAUUUAAUUCGAAGAUAUGGAAGUUCAGAGACCUUCUGCAUAAAUUUCAUAACCGCCAUGGAAGCAGGGGAGCCUUCAUGUUCCUGAACCAGA